GACCCGGCCGCCUGCGCCUCCUCCGGUGCGGCUCUUUCCGCGCGCACGGCCCGGGCGCUGAGCGCCCCCGCGGGCCACGGAGGGCCGGGCGGGUAGGGAGCGGGGUCUUGGGUCCCGGUUGAAGCCGAGGAGAUCACGGAUAGGCCGUGAGCUUGCACCGGACCGGCGCUCCCACCUACGGGACCCAGAGCUGUGAGGAAGUCAGCCUCUGGACUGGGGUCGCCUCGCCCCUGUCGCGCCCUCCCGGGCUCGGCCACUCUGCCCUUCCCUGCCCCAGCGCAGAGGUUUCUUCUGCCUGCAUAGUCUCUAUCAGGAAUUGACUACAUAAUUUGCAGGGCUGAGUACAGGAUGAACAUGUGGAGUCCCUUGUUCAGCAUUUGUUAAACAAUUCCACUACAGGCUGGGUGCAAUGGCUCACGCCUGUAAUCCCAGCACUUUGGGAGGCCAAGGUCUUUGGGGAAGGAUCAACAAAGAGCUAUGUGUUUAGUCUACCAUCCUUAACCGGAAGUCUGGGAAAUAAUUCUUUACAAAAAUAGGGGCUUUGUUAUGCACCUAAAGCCAUAUUGGAAGCUCCAGAAGAAAGAGCACCCCCCGGAAGUCAGCAGGGAAACGCAGAGAACUCCUAUGAACCACCAAAAGGCUGUAAAUGAUGAAACAUGCAAAGCUAGCCACAUAACACCAAGUGUCUUUCCUUCAGCCUCUCUCGGUAAAGCAUCAUCUCGAAAGCCAUUUGGGAUCCUUUCUCCAAAUGUUCUGUGCAGUAUGAGUGGGAAGAGUCCUGUAGAGAGCAGCUUGAAUGUUAAAACCAAAAAGAAUGCACCAUCUGCAACGAUCCACCAGGGCGAAGAAGAAGGACCACUUGAUAUCUGGGCUGUUGUGAAACCUGGAAAUACCAAGGAAAAAAUUGCAUUCUUUGCAUCCCACCAGUGUAGUAACAGGAUAGGAUCUAUGAAAAUAAAAAGUUCCUGGGAUAUUGAUGGGAGAGCUACUAAGAGAAGGAAAAAAUCAGGGGAUCUUAAAAAAGCCAAGGUACAGGUGGAAAGGAUGAGGGAGGUUAACAGCAGGUGCUACCAACCUGAGCCUUUUGCAUGUGGCAUUGAGCACUGUUCUGUGCACUAUGUGAGUGACAGUGGGGAUGGAGUCUAUGCUGGGAGGCCUCUGUCAGUUAUACAGAUGGUUGCCUUCUUGGAGCAAAGAGCCAGUGCUCUGCUAGCUAGCUGUUCAAAAAACUGCACAAACUCACCUGCAAUUGUGAGGUUUUCUGGCCAAUCCAGAGGUGUGCCUGCAGUGUCUGAGUCCUAUUCUGCCCCAGGAGCUUGUGAAGAACCCACAGAAAGGGGAAAUCUUGAGGUUGGUGAACCACAGAGCGAACCAGUCCGUGUCCUUGACAUGGUAGCCAAGUUGGAGUCUGAGUGCCUGAAGCGGCAGGGCCAGCGUGAGCCUGGGAGCCUCUCAAGGAAUAACAGCUUCCGUCGAAAUGUGGGCAGAGUAUUGCUUGCAAAUAGCACUCAGGCUGAUGAAGGUAAAACAAAGAAAGGCGUCUUGGAGGCACCUGACACUCAGGUGAAUCCUGUGGGGUCUGUAUCUGUGGAUUGUGGCCCUUCAAGAGCUGAUCGUUGUUCUCCUAAGGAGGACCAGGCCUGGGACGGUGCUUCUCAGGACUGCCCCCCAUUGCCAGCAGGAGUGAGUUUCCACAUAGACAGUGCAGAGUUAGAGCCGGGUUCGCAAACUGCCGUGAAAAACAGCAACAGAUAUGAUGUGGAAAUGACAGAUGAACUCGUUGGGUUACCUUUUUCCUCUCAUACCUAUUCCCAAGCCUCUGAAUUGCCCACAAAUGCUGUUGAUUGUAUGAGCAGAGAGCUUGUGUCGCUUACUAGCCAAAAUCCUGAUCAAAGAAAAGAAUCUUUGUGCAUUAGUAUCACUGUGUCCAAGGUAGACAAAGACCAGCCUUCCAAUUUAAACUCCUGUGAAGACCCAGUUCCAGGGAUGUUGUUUUUUUUGCCACCUGGUCAGCACUUGUCAGACUAUUCCCAGUUGAAUGAAAGCACAACAAAAGAGUCUUCAGAGGCCAGCCAGCUUGAAGAUGCUGCUGGGGGUGACAGUGCAUCUGAGGAAAAAAGUGGGUCUGCUGAGCCAUUUGUACCGCCAGCCUCUUCUGUGGAAAGUACAUUACCAGUGCUUGAGGCAUCCAGUUGGAAGAAGCAGGUGUCGCAUGACUUCCUGGAGACCAGGUUUAAAAUCCAGCAGCUUUUGGAGCCUCAGCAGUACAUGGCUUUUCUGCCCCACCACAUUAUGGUAAAAAUCUUCAGGUUACUUCCCACCAAGAGUUUAGUGGCCCUUAAAUGUACCUGCUGCUAUUUCAAGUUUAUCAUUGAGUACUACAAUAUCAGGCCAGCAGAUUCUCGCUGGGUUCGAGAUCCACGCUAUAGAGAGGAUCCUUGCAAACAGUGCAAGAAAAAGUAUGUGAAAGGGGAUGUGUCCCUGUGCCGAUGGCACCCCAAGCCGUAUUGCCAGGCAUUGCCCUAUGGGCCAGGGUAUUGGAUGUGCUGCCACCGGUCUCAGAAAGGAUUCCCUGGUUGUAAGCUGGGGCUUCAUGACAAUCACUGGGUUCCUGCCUGCCACAGCUUUAAUCGGGCAAUCCAUAAGAAAGCAAAAGGGACUGAAGCUGAAGAGGAAUACUAAAGUCCAUGUGAGAGGCAACAAAAGGACCGGUUUUUAAAGCUGCAAAACACCUAGAUACACUGUUCAAAUGAGCGUAGCCCCCUGAGUCAUCACUCUAGAAGAAUCUGUACAUCAUCAGGACUGCAUUGCUCAGGCAUUUUCUAAACUCUAAAUUUACGAGCUGUACAAAAAAAUUGGUCUUGUUGUUUAUAGUGGCAUCUCAUGUUUGAACCCGGGUGGUAUCCCACAGUUGGAUUCAGUUGGCUGUGAAUAACUCUGCCUGUUUUCCUAAAUCAAACCCAUCCUCAAAGGAUGAAGACUCACCACCAUCCAGGACAUUCAGAAGAGUUCACUGCAGAUGCUGCAGGUUUAAAGGAGAUCAACAUAAAGGACCUAGAGUACAGCUUGCCUGUAAACGUCAGCUAUGGCUGACAUUGACUAUGGCUCUACAUUGGCCCAGCGUGGACACUGGAUAAACAACUCUCUUGGUUGGUUUUCACAAAUCAGCCACUCUUGAUCUGGUUUUCAUGUGGGACACAAAGCUGUGACUGCGUGAGGGGUUAAAGUGACCAAGAGCGGAGGGCACACCCUUACUUGAUCAUUUGAAGCAAAAGCCAGAACCAGGGAAACUAGAGGAGGAGUCAGGGAGCUGCUGCUCCUAUUCCUGGAGUGGUUCACCUCUCCCCUGCCCAGUGGAUGGUCCAGACCCAAGGAAGGAGUGAUUUGAAAACUAAGGAGGGGCUCAGGUAAGAGUAACAUUUGCUUUUUUAGGCUCUCUUAAAUGACUCCAGGUUAAAACAGACAUACGAGAGGACUGUUCAAACCCUAAGCACGUUGGUGGCUCUGUGCUUAGGAGAUACCUCUUUUGGAACCCAACCCUAUGCCCCUGCUUGGCUGGGUGCCUUUCAGCGCCCUCUGCACAUCUGCCACCACAUGCCCCUCUUCUUGUCUGUCACCGUAUCUUUGGCCCUCCCCAUCUGUAGGUUCUGCAUCGCAGAUUCAACCAGCCUCAGAUUUAAAAUACUCAGAAAAAAACAUCGUGUUUGUACUGAACAUACACACUUUUUUUUCUUGUCAUUAUUCCCUAAACAAUACAAGCAUAACAACUGUUUACAUUAGGUAUUAUAAGCAAUCUAGAGGUGAUUUAAAGUAGAUGGGAGGCUAUGCAUUGGUUAUAUGCAAAUACUAAGCCAUUUUCCAUCAGGGACUUGAGCAUCUGCAGAUACCGAGGGACCACUGUGGAGCUUGCCCACCCACUGCACUCAACUCAGAGGGCGUCGCCCACAGUGCCUCACACAACACACUCUGUAAAAUGUGUGCAUUCCUCUCGAGUGACCAUUUUAAUGUGAGGGGUGCUUCCAGGACCUGACUGCUCUGGGCCAUAAUUUUCUGUUUAGUAUGAGAAACCUGACAGGGAGGUAAAGGGGUCUUGGAGGACCUUGUCCUCUGGCCAUAGCUGGUCUCAUGGGAGCAUCCUUGGUGGAAACUCCCACUGCAGCUAUGUGGGGUUUGCUCGGUACCUCUCAUUGUGCAUCUGGUAUAACCUCAGUUCUGUUAGCACCAGUAGUAGCUCCCCUAGCAGCAGGCUCUGAGCAGGUGGUUAUGUUAUGACCUAGAGGUUGCCUUCCUGGGCUUUGUCCAAUCACCGCUUCUAACUUGGACUUGUCAGUACCUUUGUGCCAACCUUUUUGGACCAGCUUGGGACACUGUUUUUAUGUGAGUGUUCCCAGGUAUUUUCCAUAGCUCCAUUCCUUCUUCACGCAGCAGUCUGGCUGUUUGUCCUCCUUUAUCUACAGCCUGAUUCAAAAACAUGAAAUUAGCCUGCACACUGCGAGCCCUUCUUUUGUGUACACCACCGACUAAACCAAUGAGAGCUGAUGUUAUCUAGCUGUACGUCGGGUAUGCCUCGUUUAAAGGCAUUCUCUACUGUGCAGUGUCUGACACUUGGGGAAUCUGAUUGUUUCUGGGGUUUGUUUGUUUUGAGAUAGAGUCUUGCUCUGUCGCCCAGACUGGAGUGCGGUGGUGCGAUCUCAGCUCACUGCAACCUCAGCCUGCCGGGUUCAAGUGAUUCUUCUGCCUUAGCCUCCCGAGUAGCUGGGACUACAGGCAUGCGCCACCACGUGGGCCCAGCUGAUUUUUUUUUUUUAAUUUUUACUAGAGAUGGGGUUUCACCAUAUUGGCCAGGCUGGUCUUGAACUCCUGACCUUGUGAUCCACCCACCUCAGCCUCCCAAAGUGCUGGGAUUACAGGCGUGAGCCACCGUGCCUGGCUGCUUCUGGUGUUUUGAGAUGGGGUCUCUCGCUCAGGCUGGAGUGCAGUGGCAUGAUCUCGACUCAUUGCAGCUUCAACCUCUUGGGCUCAAGUGGUUCUCCUGCCUCAGUCUUCCGAGUAGCUGCAACUACAGCUGCAUGUCACUAUGCCUGGCUAAUUUUUGUAUUUUUUUGUGGAGACAGUUUUGCCACGUUGCCCAGGCUGGGAAUCUGAUUGCUUUUAUCCCCGUUUUUCCUCAAAAAAGCUAGUGUUGCAAUCUUUGUGAGUUGGUCAAGGUACCUGUGUGGGAGAUGUGCAGUCUCAACUGACAUACAUGUCAUUUCCUGCCUGUCAUUUGUGGCCAUAGCUGAUGUUUGCACAACUUCAUGGGAAGAGCAAACAUUGGUGGUUAUAAACCCUUGGGUAACAUCCAGUGCAUUUAUACCAAACUGAUGUGAGGAAAAGCACAGUAAGGUAGCAUCACCAUUCCAGGUGGUUGGUUUGACCUUAACAGUUUUAGGGGAGUAGAGCCAGCGUCUGGGAAGAACUGAAAUGGAAGCAGAGAUGGCAGUCCCUUAUGUGGCAGCAGCCCAUGUAAGAGGUGAUGUUCCUCUAUCUGCAAAGCAGAACAAAACCUUUUACCCUUUCUCCCAGAGGCCCCCUCAGCCAAGCAUCCUUCAGUGAGCAGAGAACAGGCCUCAGAACAAACUCCUUUUGGGACCCCCCUCUCAUUCUUUUUGAAUUAAGGUGGACUUUUCCUU
Molecule: RNA transcript, 5672 nt
Organism: Pan troglodytes (chimpanzee)
Lineage: Eukaryota; Metazoa; Chordata; Mammalia; Primates; Hominidae
Gene: FBXO34
Gene name: F-box protein 34
Exons: 6
Source: RefSeq, marked provisional